UUCGGUUAUACGAGAAGAGUUUGCGCGCAAGCGUGAGCGUGAUGAGAGGGUCCUGCGGCCCAUCAGCUAGUUGGUAGGGUAGUGGCCUACCAAGGCAACGACGGGUAGGGGGUCUGAGAGGACGAUCCCCCACACUGGAACUGAAACACGGUCCAGACGCCUACGGGUGGCAGCAGGGAGGAAUAUUGGGCAAUGGACGAAAGUCUGACCCAGCAACGCCGCGUGAAGGAUGAAGGCCUUCGGGUUGUAAACUUCUUUUGAGGGAGAAGAGAAAGGACGGUAUCCCUCGAAUAAGCCACGGCUAACUACGUGCCAGCAGCCGCGGUAAAACGUAGGUGGCGAGCGUUAUCCGGAUUCAUUGGGCGUAAAGAGCUUGUAGGUGGCCGAAUAAGUUGGACGUGAAAACUCCGGGCUUAACUUGGAGAGGCCGUUCAAUACUGUUAGGCUAGAGGAUGUCAGAGGGAAGUAGAAUUCCUGGUGUAGCAGUGAAAUGCGUAGAUAUCAGGAGGAAUACCCGUGGCGAAGGCGGCUUCCUGGGACAUAACUGACACUGAGAAGCGAAAGCUAGGAGAGCAAACGGGAUUAGAAACCCCGGUAGUCCUAGCUGUAAACGAUGGAUGCUAGGUGUAAUCAGAACUAACCCUGGUUGUGCCGAAGCUAACGCGUUAAGCAUCCCGCCUGGGAACUACGAGCGCAAGCUUAAAACUCAAAGGAAUUGACGG
This 722-nucleotide ribosomal RNA is filed under the name uncultured bacterium. Its description in RNAcentral is "bacterial SSU rRNA". It matches the Rfam family "Bacterial small subunit ribosomal RNA", at positions 188 to 916 of the family's 1533-position model. The record is from RNAcentral.